AUGGCUCAGGAUGAACGCUAGCUACAGGCUUAACACAUGCAAGUCGAGGGCAGCAUGAUCUAAGCUUGCUUAGAUUGAUGGCGACCGGCGCACGGGUGAGUAACGCGUAUCCAACCUUCCCUAUAGUAGAGGAUAGCCCGGCGAAAGUCGGAUUAAUACUCUAUGUUUUCCAAUGCAGACAUCUAAGUUGGAACAAAGGUUUACCGCUAUAGGAUGGGGAUGCGUCUGAUUAGAUAGUAGGCGGGGUAACGGCCCACCUAGUCGACGAUCAGUAGGGGUUCUGAGAGGAAGGUCCCCCACAUUGGAACUGAGACACGGUCCAAACUCUUACGGGAGGCAGCAGUGAGGAAUAUUGGUCAAUGGGCGAGAGCCUGAACCAGCCAAGUAGCGUGCCAGGAUGACGGCCCUAUGGGCUGUAAACUGCUUUUAUCGGGGGAUAAAGUGAGGGACGUGUCCCUUAUUGUAGGUACCCGAUGAAUAAGGACCGGCUAAUUCCGUGCCAGCAGCUGC
RNAcentral lists this ribosomal RNA (510 nucleotides) under uncultured bacterium. Its description in RNAcentral is "bacterial SSU rRNA". It matches the Rfam family "Bacterial small subunit ribosomal RNA", at positions 19 to 518 of the family's 1533-position model. The record is from RNAcentral.